UGGCCAGACUCCUACGGGAGGCAGCAGUGAGGAAUAUUGGUCAAUGGGCGGAAGCCUGAACCAGCCAAGUCGCGUGAGGGACUAAGGCCCUGCGGGUCGUAAACCUCUUUUGCCGGGGAGCAGUGGUCCGGACGCGUCCGGACCGGGAGAGUACCCGGAGAAAAAGCAUCGGCUAACUCCGUGCCAGCAGCCGCGGUAAUACGGAGGAUGCGAGCGUUAUCCGGAUUUAUUGGGUUUAAAGGGUGCGCGGGCGGUCUGUUAAGUCGGCGGUAAAAUCGCGGGGCUCAACCUCGCUCCGCCGUUGAAACUGGCGUUCUUGAGUGGGCGAGAAGUAUGCGGAAUGCGUGGUGUAGCGGUGAAAUGCAUAGAUAUCACGCAGAACUCCGAUUGCGAAGGCAGCAUACCGGCGCCCGACUGACGCUGAAGCACGAAAGCGUGGGUAUCGAACAGGAUUAGAUACCCUGGUA
RNAcentral lists this ribosomal RNA (467 nucleotides) under uncultured bacterium. RNAcentral describes it as "bacterial SSU rRNA". It matches the Rfam family "Bacterial small subunit ribosomal RNA", at positions 328 to 792 of the family's 1533-position model. The record is from RNAcentral.